This 78-nucleotide transfer RNA is filed under the name Candidatus Marinamargulisbacteria bacterium SCGC AG-410-N11. RNAcentral describes it as "tRNA-Ile". It matches the Rfam family "tRNA". Rfam says of the family: Transfer RNA (tRNA) molecules are approximately 80 nucleotides in length. Lineage: Bacteria; Bacillati; Candidatus Margulisiibacteriota; Candidatus Marinamargulisbacteria. The record is from RNAcentral.
GGGCUUUUAGCUCAGAUGGUUUAGAGCGCACGCCUGAUAAGCGUGAGGUCCCUGGUUCAAUUCCAGGAAGGCCCACCA